Molecule: long non-coding RNA, 1595 nt
Organism: Microcebus murinus (gray mouse lemur)
Lineage: Eukaryota; Metazoa; Chordata; Mammalia; Primates; Cheirogaleidae
Source: RefSeq, a predicted model, not a curated record
GCCCGUGCGUGGACCCCCGGGGUUCGGCGCGACACCCCGGGGGGGAAAAAUGUGCCGAAUGAGGGAGAGUUUUGUCCCCACUCCCCGGCCGAGUCCCCCAGCACGGAUGGGGUCUUCCCCCUUCUGCUUGGCGAACUCUUCCUUCAAGACUUGGCACCACCCACCGUCCAGCGUAGAUGAUGUUGACACAUGUGUACUCAAAUAAAUCAACCUUCCCAUCCUAACCAUCUCCCUUGGCAGGAACAAUAAGUGGAUGUGCCAAGCCAGGACUGACCUGGACGACUCAACCCUUGAAAAAUAUAAAGGAAAUCAUUGUGUUUUCACGCUAGCAGGUACUACCUACCUAUGGGCCUCCUGCACAAAUUGCAUCUCUCAUCCUGGGCAUCCCGUGCGGACUUCCAGCUUUCAGCUGCACAGAGCUGCCCAGCGGUGAGCCACUGGCUGCCUCUCUGAGCAUGCUCCUCCCCCAUUCCUCGGCUUUGGUAAUGGCACCCCUAAAUACAGCCACCCUAGCUCCAGUUCACCCCGCCACCUGCCAAUAUACCAUCCAUGACCACAGCGUGAAAGAUUCUGCAUCCUAAAUAUCAACGGUCUGCUCCCCUGUCCAUCUCCACUGCUCUCGUCACCUCUUUUGCCUGGGAAAUUGCAGCAGCAGCCUGUCCAGCUGGUCUCCAACCUCCAAUGCUGGUCUCUAAACCAUCGGCUUUCUAAAAAGAUCAAUCUGUUCAUGUUCCUCUCCUGAUGAGAUAUCUCCUCUCUCUCCCUACUGCCUACUAGAAGAAGUUAACCCUUUAACUUUGCCUCUAAAAGCGUGAUGUGCCCCGAGGGUGCUCCAGCCACCUCUAAUCUUAUGCCCUGUAGAAACUUCACUGCACACUGUGCUCACCACCUCUGUCUUUUCUUGUCUUUGGUAUCUUCUACCUGGAGGACCUCCCUCUACUUCCAGCCCACUCCCACCCCCUUCCCCUGGAACAUUCUCGCUUAUCUUUCAAGAUCAAGCUCUAAUAUCACGGGUGAAAUCUCCCUCCCUAGUGCCCCCGGACCACAUCAGUCACUUCUGCUUCUUGGAGCACAAAGCAUGGUGUCCAUAAGUGGCUUGCAGGACACACCACCUGCCUUCUGCCGAUCUGCUUUCAUACCUCUCUCCCCCCCUGGGUGGGGAACAUAUGGAGGGCAGGCAGCAGCCCCUCAUCUCUGUGCCCACCCCUUGUACGUGACCAAAUGAAUGAGGAGAGCAUGGAAGAGAUGACUUUAGGGCCUGCUGCCACGCACUGGGGGCCAUCAGUAGGCUCAACUGCCUUGAGGGUGUUAGGGUUAAUGAGAAGGUUGUAUAUACCAAGGACAAGAGAGAAAAUUUCCACUUGACGUUUUGUCUCCCAUUGGCACACGCCCCCUCCUCCUUCUGAACGGCCAACUCAUCCUUAGCUGGCAGCCUAAAUCAAUUUGAGCCUCAAGGUUGGAUUGUUGGUGAUAAACACAUGUCUCUUGCUUCCUCUUUCUCUCUUCUUUUUUUUCUUCCAAAGUUCAGUUCUAAACCCAAUUAAAUGUUUCCUUUGACUCUGUUAGCUGUGACUUAGCUAUGCUACCCCGAUGGG